This 497-nucleotide ribosomal RNA is filed under the name uncultured bacterium. Its description in RNAcentral is "partial 16S ribosomal RNA". It matches the Rfam family "Bacterial small subunit ribosomal RNA", at positions 28 to 507 of the family's 1533-position model. The record is from RNAcentral.
GAUGAACGCUGGCGGCGUGCCUAAUACAUGCCAGUCGAGCGAACAGACGAGGAGCUUGCUCCUUCGACGUUAGCGGCGGACGGGUGAGUAACACGUAGGUAACCUACCUAUAAGACUGGGAUAACUUCGGGAAACCGGAGCUAAUACCGGAUAAUAUUUCGAACUGCAUGGUUCGAUAGUGAAAGAUGGCUUUGCUAUCACUUAUAGAUGGACCUGCGCCGUAUUAGCUAGUUGGUAAGGUAACGGCUUACCAAGGCAACGAUACGUAGCCGACCUGAGAGGGUGAUCGGCCACACUGGAACUGAGACACGGUCCAGACUCCUACGGGAGGCAGCAGUAGGGAAUCUUCCGCAAUGGGCGAAAGCCUGACGGAGCAACGCCGCGUGAGUGAUGAAGGUCUUCGGAUCGUAAAACUCUGUUAUUAGGGAAGAACAAACGUGUAAGUAACUGUGCACGUCUUGACGGUACCUAAUCAGAAAGCCACGGCUAACUACGUG